Molecule: ribosomal RNA, 400 nt
Filed under: uncultured bacterium
Lineage: Bacteria
Description: bacterial SSU rRNA
Rfam family: Bacterial small subunit ribosomal RNA
Source: RNAcentral
GAAUAUUGGACAAUGGGCGCAAGCCUGAUCCAGCCAUGCCGCGUGAGUGAUGAAGGCCUUAGGGUUGUAAAGCUCUUUUACCAGGGAAGAUAAUGACGGUACCUGGAGAAUAAGCCCCGGCUAACUUCGUGCCAGCAGCCGCGGUAAUACGAAGGGGGCUAGCGUUGUUCGGAAUUACUGGGCGUAAAGCGCGCGCAGGCGGUUCUUCAAGUCAGAGGUGAAAGCCCAGGGCUCAACCCUGGAAUGGCCUUUGAGACUAGAGGACUAGGGUACGGGAGAGGUGAGUGGAAUUCCGAGUGUAGAGGUGAAAUUCGUAGAUAUUCGGAAGAACACCAGUGGCGAAGGCGGCUCACUGGCCCGUUACCGACGCUCAGGCGCGACAGCGUGGGGAGCAAACAGG